GAUGAGCGCUGGCGGCGUGCCUAAUACAUGCAAGUCGAGCGAACGGACGAGAAGCUUGCUUCUCUGAUGUUAGCGGCGGACGGGUGAGUAACACGUGGAUAACCUACCUAUAAGACUGGGAUAACUUCGGGAAACCGGAGCUAAUACCGGAUAAUAUUUUGAACCGCAUGGUUCAAAAGUGAAAGACGGUCUUGCUGUCACUUAUAGAUGGAUCCGCGCUGCAUUAGCUAGUUGGUAAGGUAACGGCUUACCAAGGCAACGAUGCAUAGCCGACCUGAGAGGGUGAUCGGCCACACUGGAACUGAGACACGGUCCAGACUCCUACGGGAGGCAGCAGUAGGGAAUCCUCCGCAAUGGGCGAAAGCCUGACGGAGCAACGCCGCGUGAGUGAUGAAGGUCUUCGGAUCGUAAAACUCUGUUAUUAGGGAAGAACAUAUGUGUAAGUAACUGUGCACAUCUUGACGGUACCUAAUCAGAAAGCCACGGCUAACUCCGUG
This 497-nucleotide ribosomal RNA is filed under the name uncultured bacterium. RNAcentral's name for it is "partial 16S ribosomal RNA". It matches the Rfam family "Bacterial small subunit ribosomal RNA", at positions 28 to 507 of the family's 1533-position model. The record is from RNAcentral.